This 300-nucleotide ribosomal RNA is filed under the name uncultured Porphyrobacter sp. Its description in RNAcentral is "bacterial SSU rRNA". The stretch from base 52 to 300 matches the Rfam family "Bacterial small subunit ribosomal RNA", at positions 547 to 795 of the family's 1533-position model. The record is from RNAcentral. Lineage: Bacteria; Pseudomonadati; Pseudomonadota; Alphaproteobacteria; Sphingomonadales; Erythrobacteraceae.
GGGAAUGAGGGGGCAGAGGGCGUGGGAAGACGAGGGGGGUGUGCGUUGGUCGGAAUUACGGGGCGUAAAGCGCGCGCAGGCGGUUUUUCAAGUAAGUGUGGAAAGCCCGGAGCUCAACGCGGGAAUUGCCAUUGAAACUGUAGAACUUGAGUACGGGAGAGGUGAGUGGAAUUCCCAGUGUAGAGGUGAAAUUCGUAGAUAUUGGGAAGAACACCGGUGGCGAAGGCGGCUCACUGGCUCGUAACUGACGCUCAGGCGCGAAAGCGUGGGGAGCGAACAGGAUUAGAUACCCCAGUAGUC